GACGAACGCUGGCGGCGUGCCUAAUACAUGCAAGUCGAACGCAGUGGGGACGGGUGAGUAACCCGUGGGUAACCUCCCCCUCAGAGGGGAUAAAACUUGGAAACAGGUGCUAAACAGAUACUGCUGGAUGGACCCGCGGUGCAUUAGCUAGUUGGUAAGGUAACGGCUCACCAAGGCCACGAUGCAUAGCCGACCUGGGAUGGUGAUCGGCCAAAAUGGGACUGAGACACGGCCCAUACUCCUGCGGGAGGCAGCAGUAGGGAAUCUUCGGCAAUGGACGAAAGUCUGACCGAGCAACGCCGCGUGAGUGAAGAAGGUUUUCGGAUCGUAAAACUCUGUUGUUAGAGAAGCGGUAUCUAACCAGAAAGCCACGGCUAACUACGUGCCAGCAGCCGCGGUAAUUC
This 404-nucleotide ribosomal RNA is filed under the name uncultured bacterium. RNAcentral describes it as "partial 16S ribosomal RNA". It matches the Rfam family "Bacterial small subunit ribosomal RNA", at positions 28 to 526 of the family's 1533-position model. The record is from RNAcentral.